CGGACGGGUGAGUAACGCGUGAGCAACCUGCCCUUCGGAGGGGGAUAGUGUCUGGAAACGGACAGUAAUACCGCAUAACGUAUUGAUACCGCAUGAUAUUGAUACCAAAACUGAGGUGCCGAAGGAUGGCUCGCGUUGGAUUAGAUAGUUGGUGGGGUAACGGCCUACCAAGUCGACGAUCCAUAGCCGGACUGAGAGGUUGAACGGCCACAUUGGGACUGAGACACGGCCCAGACUCCUACGGGAGGCAGCAG
This 254-nucleotide ribosomal RNA is filed under the name uncultured bacterium. RNAcentral describes it as "partial 16S ribosomal RNA". It matches the Rfam family "Bacterial small subunit ribosomal RNA", at positions 99 to 354 of the family's 1533-position model. The record is from RNAcentral.